GACGAACGCUGGCGGCGUGCUUAACACAUGCAAGUCGAGCGGUAAGGCCCUUUCGGGGGUACGACGAGCGGCGAACGGGUGAGUAACACGUGGGUGACCUGCCCUCCAGCUCUGGGAUAAGCCCGGGAAACUGGGUCUAAUACUGGAUAUGACUCCAUGACGCAUGUUGUGGGGUGGGAAAGCCUUGUGCGGCUGAGGGAUGGGCCCGCGGCCUAUCAGCUUGUUGGGUGGGGGAUGGCCUACCAAGGCGACGACGGGUAGCCGG
Molecule: ribosomal RNA, 265 nt
Filed under: uncultured bacterium
Lineage: Bacteria
Description: partial 16S ribosomal RNA
Rfam family: Bacterial small subunit ribosomal RNA
Source: RNAcentral